UACGAGGGGGGCGAGCGUUGUUCGGAAUUAUUGGGCGUAAAGAGCGUGUAGGCGGUCUGGUAGGUCCGUUGUGAAAACUCGAGGCUCAACCUCGAGACUGCCUCCGAUACUGCGUAGCCUGAGUAUCCUAGAGGGUAGUGGAAUUGCCGGUGUAGCAGUGAAAUGCGUAGAGAUCGGCAGGAACACCAGUGGCGAAGGCGACUACCUGGGGGAAAACUGACGCUGAGGCGCGAAAGCUGGGGGAGCAAACGGG
Molecule: ribosomal RNA, 253 nt
Filed under: uncultured bacterium
Lineage: Bacteria
Description: partial 16S ribosomal RNA
Rfam family: Bacterial small subunit ribosomal RNA
Source: RNAcentral